This is a long non-coding RNA of Eriocheir sinensis (Chinese mitten crab), 2939 nucleotides long. RefSeq lists it as uncharacterized. The record is from RefSeq and is a predicted model, not a curated record. The transcript has 3 exons. Lineage: Eukaryota; Metazoa; Arthropoda; Malacostraca; Decapoda; Varunidae.
CCUCCUCCUCCUCCUCUUCUUCUUCUUAACUCAUAUAACUAAAUAAAAAAAACGCAUCAGGACACCACAAUCUUGCCUAAUAACCAACGAGAGUCACUGGGUCAUGGACUUGAGAGAAAAAAAAGAAAAAAAAAGAAAGAAAAAGAAUAAAAGCGAAUAAAAGAAGAAACAACAAAAACGACCGCAACAAUUUUUCAUGACCUGCCUUCCUCACCCUCCCAUUGGUCGAUUGAGAGAGAGAGAGAGAGAGAGAGAGAGAGAGAGAGAGAGAGAGAGAGAGAGAGAGAGAGAGAGAGAGAGAGAGAGAGAGAGAGAGAGAGAGAGAGAGAGAGAGACUAUCAGGUUACUUCAUUCCUGGACAUUAUUUUCCUUUUUUUUUUUUCUUUUUUCUUUUUCUUUUUUCGUAUUUUCCGUGUAAGUUACGUCUUAAAAACUGACGAAUGAAAGGUCUGUGUGUGUGUGUGUGUGUGUGUGUGUGUGUGUGUGUGUGUGUGUGUGUGUGUGUGUGUGUGUGUGUGUGUGUGUGUGUGUGUGUGUGUGUGAAUCGAGACGAGAAAGCGAUCCUUGAGAUACAAAACAAAAAAGGAAAAAAAAUGAGAUGAUAAAAACAGUAAAAAUGAAGAAAAGGAAGAAGAACAAGAAGAAAAGAGAGAGAGAGAGAGAGAGAGAGAGAGAGAGAGAGAGAGCACCCCCAGGAAAAUGAAUUGAUUUAUUGAUCGCUGCAAUGACUUCUUCCUCUUGGGGCUGCUAGGCAUUAGUCAGCGGCCCAGUCAAGAGGAAGCAAGAGGAGGAAGAGGAAGAGGGGCCAAGGAAGAUGAGAUAGAAGAAGAGGAGGAAGAGUUUGUCAAGAGAAAGAAGAGGAAGGGGUGCCUAUCAAGAGGAGAAAGAGGAAUAGGUGUUUGCCAAGAGGAGGAAGAGGAAGAAGAGUUUGUCAAGAGAAGGAAGAGGAUGGGGUGCCAUUUACGAGGAGAAAGAGGAAUAGGUGUUUCUCAAAAGCAGGAAGAUACAAUCAAGAGGAAGAAGAUAAUUUUGUCAAGAGGAAAAGGUGGCUAUUUAAAAAGAAGAGGAAGAUAAAUAAUCAAAGGAAGAGGAAGAGGAGGUAAUCAAGGAAAAUAAGAGGAAAAGAGAGAAUAGAAUCAUAAGAAGAAAGAGGAAGAAGUAAUAAUGAAGAGGAGGAAGAAGAAGAAUCAAGAAGAGACAGAGGAAGAGGUGUUAUUGUCGUUGUUGAGAGAGAGAGAGAGAGAGAGAGAGAGAGAGAGAGAGAGACUACUUCAUCACUGUCGCCAUUAUCAUUUACUUCCACAACACGACCCAAAACAUGCAUGAAAAAAUAAAUAUAUCAAAACAAAUCACAGUCACUUUUAAUAACUGACUUUAUAUCACUCACGCAAGAAAGCAACGAAGACGGGAAAAGAAGGGAAAGUAAGAAAUAAAUAAAAGUAAAGAAUAAAUAGCAGAAAAAGGAUUAGUAAAUGAAAAAGAGGGAGAAGGAGAGGAAGAGUAAGAAGAACGAAAAUUAAGAAGAAAAAGAAAAGACGAAGACGGAUGAAAAAAAGGAAGGGAAAGGAGAAAAAUAAAUAACAGGGCGAAAUGAAAGGAAAGGAAGAGGGUGAGAGGAAGUAAAAAUCGAAAUGCGAGUAAAAGGAAAAAAACUAAAACAAAAGAAGAUCAGAAGAAGUAAAGAGACGAAGAGGAAGAAAAAGGAGGAGAAAGAAGACGAAAUAGAAGGAGGAGGAAGACGAAGAAGAAACAGAAGAAGCAGAAGGAAGACGAAAUAGAGGGUAGAGAAAGGAAGAAGAGAGAGAGAGAGUCAAUCAGGAGUGAGGAGACGAAGGAAGAGGAGGAGGAGGAGGAGAAAGAGGAAGAGGAGGAGGAAACGUGGAGGAGGAGUAAAGAGACGAAGGAGAAGGAAAAUGAGGAGAAAGAAGACGAAAUUGAAGGAGGAGGAAGAGGAAGAAGAAACAGAAGAAGUAGAAGGAAGACGAAAUAGCGGGUUGAGAAAGGAAGGAGAGGUGUGAGAAGACAAAGGAAGAGGAGGACGAAAGAGCAGAAGCAGAAGUCAGAAGGAGGAGGAGGAGGAGGAGAAAAAGGAGGAGGAGGAGGAGGAGGAGGAUAUUUUGGUUGCAGGCACGAUCUUCUGUAAACGGAGGCAGACCGUGUCCCUGCGAAACGCGAUUCUGUCAAAACUAAACUGUUUACAGCCGAGCCAUCCGCCGCGGCCUGUUUACCGCCCACGUAAACACACCUCCCGCGGCACCUUCACUAAUCGCGAGGCCAAACAAUACCGUAGUGAGUGCUGGUGGUGGUGAAGGUGGUGGUGAUGAUUUUUGGUUAGUGGGUUAGGUUAGUCUAGGUUAGGUGGUGGUGAUGAUAUAGUGAUGAUGGUGGUAGUGGUGGUGGUGUGAUUUUAGGUUAGGUUAGUUAAGUUAGGUGGUGAGGUUAGGCUAGGUAAGUUGGUGAUGAUGGUGGUGAAUGAAGGAGGUGAAGGUGACGGUAGUGGUGGUGAUAUUUGAAUAGGUUAUAUUAGAGGGUGGUGACGGUAAUGUGGUGAUGGUGGUGAUGAUAGUGAUGAAAUGUUCUAAAAUGGGUCUUAAGUUAUUUUGUUCUCUACUAUCUUUUUUAACUUGUCAGUGGUAUAUUGUCAUUGUUAUUUCCUCAUCUUCACCCCCAUUCAUUCUCGUGUGUGUGUGUUUGUGUGUUUGUGUGUGUGUGAGUGUGUGUUUGUGUGUGUGUGUGUGUGUGUGUGUGUGUGAAGCCAUCAGUAAGCGAGGAUGGGCCCUUCAUUGACAACAUAAUAAAUGAAGAACAACCAGUCAGUCAGUCAGUCAGCCAGUCAGUCAGCCAGUCAGUCAGUCAGUCAGUCGAGUCACUACAACCAAAGGGAAGUCACACGAUACAAAUAUUUCAGUGGGUUGAGCAGGGAAGAGGAAGAGGGAGGA